RNAcentral lists this ribosomal RNA (685 nucleotides) under uncultured ciliate. RNAcentral describes it as "SSU rRNA". It matches the Rfam family "Eukaryotic small subunit ribosomal RNA", at positions 320 to 1019 of the family's 1831-position model. The record is from RNAcentral. Lineage: Eukaryota; Ciliophora.
CUCGAUGGUAGUGUAUUGGACUACCAUGGCACUCACGGGUAACGGAGAAUUAGGGUUCGAUUCCGGAGAGGGAGCCUGAGAAACGGCUACCACAUCUAAGGAAGGCAGCAGGCGCGUAAAUUACCCAAUCCUAAUUCAGGGAGGUAGUGACAAGAAAUAACAGGCCGGUGCUUCGCAUCGUGUUUGCAAUGAGUUUAAUCCAAAACCCUUUUCGAGUAACAAUUGGAGGGCAAGUCUGGUGCCAGCAGCCGCGGUAAUUCCAGCUCCAAUAGCGUAUAUUAAAGUUGUUGCAGUUAAAAAGCUCGUAGUUGGAUUUCUGAAGGCGCGACAAUGUCCGCUGUAUGCGUGUGCAGCGUUGCUCCUUCAUCCUUCUGUUAACGUUUCUUGGUAUUCAUUUACUGGUUUCGGGCUCAGAUAUUUUACCUUGAGAAAAUUAGAGUGUUUCAGGCAGGCUUGUGCUGGAAUACAUUAGCAUGGAAUAAUGGAAAAGGACUUUAGUCUCUUUUGUUGGUUUGAGGGACUUCAGUAAUGAUUAAUAGGGAUAGUUGGGGGCUAUUAGUAUUUAAUUGUCAGAGGUGAAAUUCUUAGAUUUGUUAAAGACUAACUAAUGCGAAAGCAUUUGCCGAAGGAUGUUUUCAUUAAUCAAGAACGAAAGUUAGGGGAUCAAAGACGAUCAGAUACCGUC